Molecule: ribosomal RNA, 159 nt
Filed under: Senegalia senegal
Lineage: Eukaryota; Viridiplantae; Streptophyta; Magnoliopsida; Fabales; Fabaceae
Also listed under: 1 other name
Description: 5.8S ribosomal RNA
Rfam family: 5.8S ribosomal RNA
About the family: 5.8S ribosomal RNA (5.8S rRNA) is a component of the large subunit of the eukaryotic ribosome. It is transcribed by RNA polymerase I as part of the 45S precursor that also contains 18S and 28S rRNA. Functionally, it is thought that 5.8S rRNA may be involved in ribosome translocation.
Source: RNAcentral
CGACUCUCGGCAACGGAUAUCUCGGCUCUCGCAUCGAUGAAGAACGUAGCGAAAUGCGAUACUUGGUGUGAAUUGCAGAAUCCCGUGAACCAUCGAGUCUUUGAACGCAAGUUGCGCCCGAAGCCGUCCGGCCGAGGGCACGUCUGCCUGGGCGUCACG